This 543-nucleotide ribosomal RNA is filed under the name Blastococcus saxobsidens. RNAcentral describes it as "bacterial SSU rRNA". It matches the Rfam family "Bacterial small subunit ribosomal RNA", at positions 364 to 917 of the family's 1533-position model. The record is from RNAcentral. Lineage: Bacteria; Bacillati; Actinomycetota; Actinomycetes; Geodermatophilales; Geodermatophilaceae.
UUGCGCAAUGGGCGAAAGCCUGACGCAGCGACGCCGCGUGGGGGAUGACGGCCUUCGGGUUGUAAACCUCUUUCAGCAGGGACGAAGCGAAAGUGACGGUACCUGCAGAAGAAGCACCGGCCAACUACGUGCCAGCAGCCGCGGUAAUACGUAGGGUGCAAGCGUUGUCCGGAAUUAUUGGGCGUAAAGAGCUCGUAGGCGGUUCGUCGCGUCGGCUGUGAAAUCCCGAGGCUCAACCUCGGGUCUGCAGUCGAUACGGGCGGACUUGAGUUCGGCAGGGGAGACUGGAAUUCCUGGUGUAGCGGUGAAAUGCGCAGAUAUCAGGAGGAACACCGGUGGCGAAGGCGGGUCUCUGGGCCGAAACUGACGCUGAGGAGCGAAAGCGUGGGGAUCGUUCAGGAUUAGAUACCCUGGUAGUCCACGCCGUAAACGUUGGGCGCUAGGUGUGGGGCUCAUUCCACGAGUUCCGUGCCGCAGCUAACGCAUUAAGCGCCCCGCCUGGGGAGUACGGCCGCAAGGCUAAAACUCAAAGGAAUUGACGGG